RNAcentral lists this ribosomal RNA (1029 nucleotides) under uncultured organism. RNAcentral describes it as "bacterial SSU rRNA". It matches the Rfam family "Bacterial small subunit ribosomal RNA", at positions 418 to 1457 of the family's 1533-position model. The record is from RNAcentral.
UCGGUCUGUAAAGCCCUUUUGCCAGGAAAGACUUAGGACGGUACCUGGCGAAUAAGCCCCGGCUAACUACGUGCCAGCAGCCGCGGUAAUACGUAGGGGGCAAGCGUUGUCCGGAUUUACUGGGCGUAAAGGGCGCGCAGGCGGCCUGUUAAGUGUGAAGUGAAAUCUCCUGGCUCAACCAGGAAAUUGCUUUGCAUACUGGCAGGCUAGAGAAAGGCAGAGGUAGAUGGAAUUCCCGGUGUAGCGGUGACAUGCGUUGAUAUCGGGAGGAACACCAAUGGCGAAGGCAGUCUACUGGGCCUCUUCUGACGCUCAGGCGCGAAAGCGUGGGUAGCAAACAGGAUUAGAUACCCUGGUAGUCCACGCCCUAAACGAUGGAUACUAGGCGUUAGGGGUAUCGACCCCCUUAGUGCCGCAGCAAACGCGAUAAGUAUCCCGCCUGGGGACUACGGCCGCAAGGCUGAAACUCAAAUGAAUUGACGGGGACCCGCACAAGCGGUGGAGCAUGUGGAUUAAUUCGAUACUAACCGAAGAACCUUACCCAGACUUGACAUCGAGGGACCGGCUAUGAAAGUAGCUUUCCGCCCCACAAGGGCGGCCCAAAGACACCUGUUGCAUGGCUGUCGACAGCUCGUGCCGUGAGGUGUUUGGUUAAGUCCAGCAACGAGCGCAACCCUCGUCCUAUGUUGCCAACAGGUAAUGCUGGGAACUCAUAGGAGACCGCCGGCGCAAGCCGGAGGAAGGUGAGGAUGACGUCAAGUCAGCAUGGCGGUUACGUCUGGGGCUUCACACAUGCUACAAUGGAUGCAACAAAGGGGAGCGAGACCGCGAGGUUAAGCGAAUCCCAAAAAUACAUCCUCAGUUCGGAUUGCAGUCUGCAACUCGACUGCAUGAAGGCGGAAUCGCUAGUAAACGCAGGUCAGCUAUACUGCGUUGAAUACGUUCCCGGGUCUUGUACACACCGCCCGUCAAGUCACCCGAAUUGUCUGCACCCGAAGUCCGUGGCCUAACCGUAAGGAAGGAGCGGCC